UUCAAUGCCAUUUACUUCUCUCACUCACUCAAGACUCUUCUCCUCUUCUAUCCAAAACUCUCUCACCCUUUUUAUUAUCAUAUUCUUGCUUGCCAGGGACUGGGGUUCCCAAAUCCUGCUAUUUGAUUCAGGUUGGUGUCGCAUCUUAUGAAGGAGAAAGAAGAGAGCGAUGGCAAGAAUGGUGAUCCUAAUCUGUUUACUUCUUCCGCUGCUGUUUGAGAGUGAUUCAAGGAAGCUAUCGUGGGUGCCUGACAUGCCAGGAAACGCUUCUGCCACUGCCACUCAUGGAGAAGGCAUGGAGAAGGAAGAAUGCAAAGGCGUGGACACGGAGAGAUGCACUGCCGGGCGAGGGAUGGAAGAUCACACGGAUUAUAUCUACACCCAAGACUCGGAGCCAUGAUUCCGUGUCCCCAUAUCAUUUCCACUUCUCUGUGUGUUCCCCCCUUUCUUGGUGAACCACCGGACAUCUGUUGGUCUCAUAACACUGGAAUUUAACUGUUUAAUACUUUGUUCAUGAUCUUCUUUCC
Molecule: long non-coding RNA, 527 nt
Organism: Musa acuminata subsp. malaccensis (wild Malaysian banana)
Lineage: Eukaryota; Viridiplantae; Streptophyta; Magnoliopsida; Zingiberales; Musaceae
Source: RefSeq, a predicted model, not a curated record